CGCUGAAGAGAGGAGCUUGCUCUUCUUGGAUGAGUUGCGAACGGGUGAGUAACGCGUAGGUAACCUGCCUUGUAGCGGGGGAUAACUAUUGGAAACGAUAGCUAAUACCGCAUAACAAUGGAUGACACAUGUCAUUUAUUUGAAAGGGGCAAUUGCUCCACUACAAGAUGGACCUGCGUUGUAUUAGCUAGUAGGUGAGGUAAUGGCUCACCUAGGCGACGAUACAUAGCCGACCUGAGAGGGUGAUCGGCCACACUGGGACUGAGACACGGCCCAGACUCCUACGGGAGGCAGCAGUAGGGAAUCUUCGGCAAUGGGGGCAACCCUGACCGAGCAACGCCGCGUGAGUGAAGAAGGUUUUCGGAUCGUAAAGCUCUGUUGUAAGUCAAGAACGGGUGUGAGAGUGGAAAGUUCACACUGUGACGGUAGCUUACCAGAAAGGGACGGCUAACUACGUGCCAGCAGCCGCGGUAAUACGUAGGUCCCGAGCGUUGUCCGGAUUUAUUGGGCGUAAAGCGAGCGCAGGCGGUUUGAUAAGUCUGAAGUUAAAGGCUGUGGCUCAACCAUAGUUCGCUUUGGAAACUGUCAAACUUGAGUGCAGAAGGGGAGAGUGGAAUUCCAUGUGUAGCGGUGAAAUGCGUAGAUAUAUGGAGGAACACCGGUGGCGAAAGCGGCUCUCUGGUCUGUAACUGACGCUGAGGCUCGAAAGCGUGGGGAGCGAACAGGAUUAGAUACCCUGGUAGUCCACGCCGUAAACGAUGAGUGCUAGGUGUUGGAUCCUUUCCGGGAUUCAGUGCCGCAGCUAACGCAUUAAGCACUCCGCCUGGGGAGUACGACCGCAAGGUUGAAACUCAAAGGAAUUGACGGGGGCCCGCACAAGCGGUGGAGCAUGUGGUUUAAUUCGAAGCAACGCGAAGAACCUUACCAGGUCUUGACAUCCCGAUGCUAUUUCUAGAGAUAGAAAGUUACUUCGGUACAUCGGUGACAGGUGGUGCAUGGUUGUCGUCAGCUCGUGUCGUGAGAUGUUGGGUUAAGUCCCGCAACGAGCGCAACCCCUAUUGUUAGUUGCCAUCAUUCAGUUGGGCACUCUAGCGAGACUGCCGGUAAUAAACCGGAGGAAGGUGGGGAUGACGUCAAAUCAUCAUGCCCCUUAUGACCUGGGCUACACACGUGCUACAAUGGUUGGUACAACGAGUUGCGAGUCGGUGACGGCGAGCUAAUCUCUUAAAGCCAAUCUCAGUUCGGAUUGUAGGCUGCAACUCGCCUACAUGAAGUCGGAAUCGCUAGUAAUCGCGGAUCAGCACGCCGCGGUGAAUACGUUCCCGGGCCUUGUACACACCGCCCGUCACACCACGAGAGUUUGUAACACCCGAAGUCGGUGAGGUAAC
This 1388-nucleotide ribosomal RNA is filed under the name Streptococcus thermophilus. Its description in RNAcentral is "bacterial SSU rRNA". It matches the Rfam family "Bacterial small subunit ribosomal RNA", at positions 65 to 1439 of the family's 1533-position model. Lineage: Bacteria; Bacillati; Bacillota; Bacilli; Lactobacillales; Streptococcaceae. The record is from RNAcentral.